ACGCUGGCGGCGUGCUUAACACAUGCAAGUCGAACGAUGAAGCCUAGCUUGCUAGGUGGAUUAGUGGCGAACGGGUGAGUAAUACGUGAGUAACCUACCUUUAACUCUGGGAUAAGCCUGGGAAACUGGGUCUAAUACCGGAUACGACCAAUCUCCGCAUGGGGUGUUGGUGGAAAGCGUUAUGUAGUGGUUAUAGAUGGGCUCACGGCCUAUCAGCUUGUUGGUGAGGUAACGGCUCACCAAGGCGACGACGGGUAGCCGGCCUGAGAGGGUGCCCGGCCACACUGGGACUGAGACACGGCCCAGACUCCUACGGGAGGCAGCAGUGGGGAAUAUUGCACAAUGGGCGCAAGCCUGAUGCAGCGACGCCGCGUGAGGGAUGACGGCCUUCGGGUUGUAAACCUCUGUUAGCAGGGAAGAAGAGAAAUUGACGGUACCUGCAGAGAAAGCGCCGGCUAACUACGUGCCAGCAGCCGCGGUAAUACGUAGGGCGCGAGCGUUGUCCGGAAUUAUUGGGCGUAAAGAGCUUGUAGGCGGUUUGUCGCGUCUGCUGUGAAAGGCCGGGGCUUAACCCCGUGUAUUGCAGUGGGUACGGGCAGACUAGAGUGCAGUAGGGGAGACUGGAAUUCCUGGUGUAGCGGUGGAAUGCGCAGAUAUCAGGAGGAACACCGAUGGCGAAGGCAGGUCUCUGGGCUGUAACUGACGCUGAGAAGCGAAAGCAUGGGGAGCGAACAGGAUUAGAUACCCUGGUAGUCCAUGCCGUAAACGUUGGGCACUAGGUGUGGGGGACAUUCCACGUUUUCCGCGCCGUAGCUAACGCAUUAAGUGCCCCGCCUGGGGAGUACGGCCGCAAGGCUAAAACUCAAAGAAAUUGACGGGGGCCCGCACAAGCGGCGGAGCAUGCGGAUUAAUUCGAUGCA
This 920-nucleotide ribosomal RNA is filed under the name uncultured bacterium. RNAcentral's name for it is "bacterial SSU rRNA". It matches the Rfam family "Bacterial small subunit ribosomal RNA", at positions 33 to 958 of the family's 1533-position model. The record is from RNAcentral.